This 136-nucleotide ribosomal RNA is filed under the name uncultured bacterium. RNAcentral's name for it is "partial 16S ribosomal RNA". It matches the Rfam family "Bacterial small subunit ribosomal RNA", at positions 355 to 509 of the family's 1533-position model. The record is from RNAcentral.
UGGGGGAUAUUGCACAAUGGGGGAAACCCUGAUGCAGCAACGCCGCGUGAAGGAAGAAGGUCUUCGGAUUGUAAACUUUGUCCUUGGUGAAGAUAAUGACGGUAGCCAAGGAGGAAGCUCCGGCUAACUACGUGCC